Long non-coding RNA from Phragmites australis (common reed), 1035 nucleotides. RefSeq lists it as uncharacterized. The record is from RefSeq and is a predicted model, not a curated record. The transcript is spliced from 4 exons. NCBI's taxonomy places the organism in Eukaryota, Viridiplantae, Streptophyta, Magnoliopsida, Poales, Poaceae.
CACCUUAUCCAUGCACCACCACUCAACAGGUGGGCCCCACCAUCCACAUGCCCACCACCUCCUUAUCCACACACCACCACCCGCUACCACCUUAUCGAUACACCAACCACCACCAGUAGAAGAAUUAGCCAUGGUGCCACGCUGACACGCUGCUGAUCAGAGAGAAGAUCCCAGCCGUUGCGCCCUCCAAGGAGAUGCAGCCUAGCCAGCGGUGGCAAGGACAACAAGAGUAAGAACUGGCCCUUCGAGCUUCUUUGCACCACUUCCGGCACGCUGCAAAUCAAGUUCUCCGAUGAUUUCCUCGUCGGACGCUCUAGAUCAAGUUCUCUAACAACUUCCUCGUGGGCGAGGAAAAGUUGCUUUUGAUUUUUGUACCAAUUUGCCUACAAAAUGUCUAAGGGAUGGCACCAACAAAUACUCAUCGGAAGCGGACGUGAAAGCAUGCAAAAGGCGGCUCCUCCAACCCGGGCCAAUUGCCGGUAGGAGAUGACGGGGUAAUUUAUUUGUUGGUGAUCGUAAAAUAUUGUAGAUGUUAUGAAUUUGGAUUUACAAUAAUGAUAUAAUUGUAGAUGGAUAGAAGAUGGAUGUACGAUGCGAGCUGUGUGAGUGCAGCUGUGGUACAAGCCAUGACGCACAAGUCAAAUACAUAGUCUCAAUACAUGUGUUGUCCAUGCGUCGAUUGCGAGAACAAGAAGCAGUUCUCCACCACCCAGCAGAUACAUUCCUACUUGAUACUAAGGGGCUUUAUGCCUGGCUAUAACCGUUGGACCGAGCAUGGUAAAGUUGUGAUCGUACAGGAAGGGCAAUACAUUGAAAGAGAAGACGAGGACAUGUGCACCGAUAUGCCGGUCGACGAAUACAUCGAUAUGCCGCCUACCGGAGACACGUUGGCUGAUGAUGAUCUAGAAGAGAUGUUGGCCGACGCCAACAUCAAUGAUCUCGAGCAGAUGUUGUGCGAUGGGGAGGGGAACUUCACCAAUGAAAGAGAGUUCCAAAAGUUCCAGUGUAUGUUAGAGGAAUUUGAAAUACCAUUGU